This 432-nucleotide ribosomal RNA is filed under the name uncultured bacterium. RNAcentral describes it as "partial 16S ribosomal RNA". It matches the Rfam family "Bacterial small subunit ribosomal RNA", at positions 29 to 506 of the family's 1533-position model. The record is from RNAcentral.
AACGAACGCUGGCGGCAUGCCUAACACAUGCAAGUCGAGCGAGACCUUCGGGUCUAGUGGCGCACGGGUGCGUAACGCGUGGGAACCUGCCCUUAGGUUCGGAAUAACUCCCCGAAAGGGGUGCUAAUACCGGAUAAUGUCUUCGGACCAAAGAUUUAUCGCCUUUGGAUGGGCCCGCGUUGGAUUAGCUAGUUGGUAGGGUAAAAGCCUACCAAGGCGACGAUCCAUAGCUGGUCUGAGAGGAUGAUCAGCCACACUGGGACUGAGACACGGCCCAGACUCCUACGGGAGGCAGCAGUGGGGAAUAUUGGACAAUGGGCGAAAGCCUGAUCCAGCAAGGCCGCGUGAGUGAUGAAGGCCUUAGGGUUGUAAAGCUCUUUUACCCGGGAUGAUAAUGACAGUACCGGGAGAAUAAGCUCCGGCUAACUCCGU